Molecule: long non-coding RNA, 971 nt
Organism: Cebus imitator (Panamanian white-faced capuchin)
Lineage: Eukaryota; Metazoa; Chordata; Mammalia; Primates; Cebidae
Exons: 3
Source: RefSeq, a predicted model, not a curated record
UCUCUACUUCUUAAGGUCUGUUAUCAUUUCUAAAAUGGGGACAAUCAUAUCUACUUUGCCUAUCUAAAAUGUAUGCCGAGAUAACAAGAUAACGUGAGAGGGUUUUGAAAACUACAUAUUGAUAUACAAGCCUAAGAUAUUAAUAUUUCUAUUCUUUCAGAUUAAAUGUUCUUAACCUAGAUUCCAUGGAUGUCUAGAACCCCCUAAGACAGUAUGCAAAAUUUUGUGUUUGUAUUUUCCUGGGGAGAGAGCCCAUAGUUUUCAUCAGUUUUCCAAAUGGCUUUCUGUUUUAAGUGCCAAUCCUGACCUAGAGUUAUAGUCAAGCUACCUCUACCAUCAUUUAUCAGAUACUUUGAAGGAUUUGUCUCUACUUCCAAGUAGAUAUGGUUCAGAUAUUCCUCAAAACACCUCUCUCUUCCAAGCCAAAUGAGCAGCUUGAACCCUUUACCUUUGAAAAGGAUUACUUCUAGCCAAAAGAAUACUGGGCAUCAAGCUGUCCAGGUACUCAAGAAAGUCAAUCCACCAGAUUUCCUAUGGAAAAGUACCAAGCACUACAGAGAGCUGGAGUAGGAGGAGGAGGCGGAGGAGGGGGAAAUAUUAAAAUGCAGAAACACAGAAAAAGUUAUUGCUGAUCUCCAUGCAUGUUAGACAAGGUUACUUCCAGAAGGGACUAAAGAGCUCUCAGGGGAAAUAGAACACAUUAAUAAAGACAGUCUUUAAAAGGAUGUGUUCCCCAACCUUUCAGCAAUAAAACUGCCUGAACAUGAAAACAGCUGAAGAGCAGAGGCUUCAGGAGAAGUUUUCCAGUGAUUGAUGGAACAUAAACUUGAAUGUCUACCUUGUCAAUUCUUGAGAUUGGGGUUCUUCAGGCUUCAUCCUGGCUUAUUUCCCUGCUGGGAAUCAAAGAUUGUUCCUUAUGCCUAUGUGAAACAUAAAAAUUGUGGCAUAUACCUCUGCAAAUACAAGUGAAA